RNAcentral lists this ribosomal RNA (305 nucleotides) under uncultured bacterium. RNAcentral's name for it is "partial 16S ribosomal RNA". It matches the Rfam family "Bacterial small subunit ribosomal RNA", at positions 1 to 293 of the family's 1533-position model. The record is from RNAcentral.
CUCCACUGUGGAAUUCGCCCUUAGAGUUUGAUCAUGGCUCAGAUUGAACGCUGGCGGCAGGCUUAACACAUGCAAGUCGAGCGGGGGAAGGUAGCUUGCUACUGGACCUAGCGGCGGACGGGUGAGUAAUACUUAGGAAUCUGCCUAUUAGUGGGGGACAACGUUCCGAAAGGAGCGCUAAUACCGCAUACGCCCUACGGGGGAAAGCAGGGGAUCUUCGGACCUUGCGCUAAUAGAUGAGCCUAAGUCGGAUUAGCUAGUUGGUAGGGUAAAGGCUUACCAAGGCGACGAUCUGUAGCGGGUUU